UUUGUAUCUAGGCAAGAGUUCUCCUAAAAUCAAGGGUUAGGAUUUAACUUGGGAGAAGCACAAGGAUUGUGCUAAUGUUCAAAGGUAGAGAUUAGGUCUCUUGAAAUAAGAAAAAAAUCAAUGGCUAGGAUGUGAUCUUGAGAAUUGGCAUGGAUUAAGAAGAAAACUCUAUAAAUGGGAAGUGAGAAAUUAGUUCCAAGCUUUUUCCCAUUUGUGAAGUAGAGAAGCAAGAAGGCAAGUAAGAAGGCAAGGAAGUCUAGAGAAGGAAGAGAAAGUCUAGCAAAAGGGUGAGUAUUAGCUUGUGGAGGUGUUGAAGCUUCAAAGUCUAAGAGGGAUUCUUGGCUUGUGAGAGUGUAAAGCUUCAAGGAAACAAGGUGGAGAAACAUCCAAGGGAAAGGGAGUUUUGCAAGGGUGAAGGUAUUGAAGCAAAGAGGAAAACUAUGUGUAAUGGUUAUGUAGUUUGUAUUUUUGUGUUGUAUUAUUUUGUUAAACUUGGAUUGUAUGUAAAUGUGGUUAAAAG
Diospyros lotus (date-plum) is the source of this 520-nucleotide long non-coding RNA. RefSeq lists it as uncharacterized. The transcript is spliced from 3 exons. The record is from RefSeq and is a predicted model, not a curated record. NCBI's taxonomy places the organism in Eukaryota, Viridiplantae, Streptophyta, Magnoliopsida, Ericales, Ebenaceae.